GCCAGAACAGCCUCCAGCAUCUCUCAUCCGACGCGGCAUUGUUAGCCCCGCCUUCCUCAGCUGCUAAGCCCCGCCCCUAGCGUCUUCCUCCGCAAAAAAUUGUUGAAAUUUGUUCAUGUCCCUCCGCUGGGAGCUGUAUCUAAAAAGAGCUACCCGUGGGCCUGCUCUUGUUUCCCACCUAAAACUUCAGUUUCUUGUUUAAUUUCCCAAGAUUGUAACUUCUUUCUAGUGUAAGGAUCUUUAGAAAGAAACCUGAGUGGGUGGGAGGUAAAUAUAAAUCACGAUGUUAUGACUCAAGUUUGUGACACACAUCGAAUCUCAAGCAAUAAAUAGUCCUUUGAAAGAUGGAUGCAAAAUAGAGCACCUGAAAGAACAGAGAACAGCUUACUCUCCUGUGCCAUGCUCCUAUUGCCUUGUCACCGUAAAGGAGAGCUAACUGCAAACCACACGCACCAGAAAAAUUCCUUCUGUCCUUUUAUCAGUUUCUAUAUCUAGGACACCCUGACUGCAUUGCUGAAGGCCUCAGAGAGCAGGAAGAGGGAUGAAACGACACAGUAUUUUAGCCCUUGUGAAAGGAGUAUGAGAAUUUCUUGAUCGCAGGCUCCUACACGCUAAAAGGCUUUGGCAGCUCCAAGGGGCUUGGGCCAGCGGAAGGUCAGUAAAUUUAAACUGCACUAGCUCUCAGCUAAAUAGGCCUUUCUGAUUCAAAGGGAACACACUAAAAACCAGAGAGCCAAAAGACAGACAAGAUUUUGAAGUAUUUUCACCAAACAACACUGCACCCAGGCUGAAGCAAAGCUCCAAGAACCAUGGCUCCAUCAACAGAAGAAUUUCAACCACACAUCUGACAAAAUGCACCGCCUACAGGCACCCGCAGAAGCUUAGAAUCACACACUCAGGGCAGGCACAGCUACAGUGCAGUUCAAGUCACUCACUGCUGCAUAACAAAGCAUCUUCGAACUUAGUCUCUUAAAACAAUAAUAAUUGGGGUUGGGGAUUUAGCUCAGUGGUAGAGCGCUUGCCUAGGAAGCGCAAGGCCCUGGGUUCGGUCCCCAGCUCUGAAAAAAGAACCAAAAAAUAAAUAAAUAAAUAAAUAAUUUAUUUAGCUGUCUGGGCAGGAGACAGCAGAGAAGCCUCAACUCUAUUCCAGGAAUCACCAGCUGGGAAGGCUCGACAAAGGCAAGAUGCUCAAUCACCACGGAUCCAGCAGUUGACACUGGCUGUUGGUUGGAAUCUCAGCAGUUACUGUCAUCCGGGAUGCAGACAAAACCCUGCAUGUAGCUGCUUGGCCUCUUAAAUCCAUCCUCAACAGCUACAAUAGAACACGACAGACUGGGUAGUUUGUAAUAAGCAGGAAUUUAUUUAGGCCAUGGUUCUGGAGUCUGAAAGCUCAAAAUGGGAGAGGUGAUGUGGUGAGGACCUUCAGGCUGCAUCAUUCCCGAGACAGAAGGGCAAGUGGACAUGUGUGAAUGAGCAAAGCAGAAGGCUAGACCUGCUUUAUAACAGCUCACUCUAGUAUAACUGCCCACUCUAUCAAUAAAAGCAUUAAUAAUUUCCUAUAGA
Rattus norvegicus (Norway rat) is the source of this 1563-nucleotide long non-coding RNA. RefSeq lists it as uncharacterized. NCBI's taxonomy places the organism in Eukaryota, Metazoa, Chordata, Mammalia, Rodentia, Muridae. The record is from RefSeq and is a predicted model, not a curated record.